RNAcentral lists this ribosomal RNA (480 nucleotides) under uncultured bacterium. Its description in RNAcentral is "bacterial SSU rRNA". It matches the Rfam family "Bacterial small subunit ribosomal RNA", at positions 28 to 507 of the family's 1533-position model. RNAcentral also lists the same sequence under 1 other name. The record is from RNAcentral.
GAUGAACGCUAGCGGGAGGCUUAAUACAUGCAAGUCGGACGGUAACAGGUCUUCGGACGCUGACGAGUGGCGAACGGGUGCGUAACGCGUACACAACCUACCUUUUACUGGGGGAUAGUUUUGGGAAACUGGGAGUAAUACCCCAUUCGUUUGAGCUGCGGCAUCGCGGUUCAAAGAAAGGUUUACUGGUGAGAGAUGGGUGUGCGUCCAAUUAGGUAGUUGGUAGGGUAACGGCCUACCAAGCCGACGAUUGGUAGCUGGUCUGAGAGGAUGAUCAGCCACACGGGCACUGAGACACGGGCCCGACUCCUACGGGAGGCAGCAGUAGGGAAUAUUGGUCAAUGGACGGAAGUCUGAACCAGCCAUCCCGCGUGCAGGAAGAAGGAUCUUUGGUCUGUAAACUGCUUUUCUCAAGGAAGAGAGAUAGAGAUUAAUCUUUAGAGGACGGUACUUGAGGAAUAAGCACCGGCUAACUCCGUG